Molecule: long non-coding RNA, 1003 nt
Filed under: Pan troglodytes (chimpanzee)
Lineage: Eukaryota; Metazoa; Chordata; Mammalia; Primates; Hominidae
Description: lincRNA
Source: RNAcentral
AGGAGGAGGUCCUCUGAGCCCUGAGGCAGAGAUAUCUCACCUGGAAGAUGGGUCUAAUGACUGCACCCCACACACACCAGAGAGGACUGCAGAUAGUGCGGGGUGAGAGGAAGAUCUCUGGCCCUGGAGACAGCAUCAUCAAGCGAAAACAUAUGAGGAAGAAAAUAGCAGAUGAGAAGAAUCAACCAAAUUCCGGAAGCUGGAAGGCAGAUGCAAGAAGGCCCUUGAAUGAUGCCAGCACCUUGAUAUUGGACUUUCCAGCCUCCAGAACCAUGAGCCAAUACAUUUCUGUUCCAUAAAAAUUACCCAGUUCCAGGUAUUCUGCUAUAGCAGCACAAAAUGGACUAAAACAAUGUUGGCACAAGACUCAGUGCUGGGCCUGGCAUGCAACAGGUCCUUGGAGUGGCGUGCUGUGUGGAUAAUGAAUAUUGGGGAAGGCAUCUCUCUCCAGCCCCUCUCAAGCUUUCUGUAGUCACUGGUCCACUCUGUAUUGCUAUGAAGAAGCUCAAGACCAGCCUGUAUCACUCGGGGUCCUGGCAGGAACCAGGUGCCACACUCAAACUGAGUAAUUGAAGAGGGUUUAAUAUGGGAGUUAUUUACAAAGGUGUGGGCUGGUGUAGCUGCCCAUAUGCCCUCGAAAUCACCUCUACAUGGCAAUAGCUACUUACUGCUAACAGAGUCUCUCUCUCUCAUUGCUGCAAAUAUUUUCUAGCCAUGCAAGAAACUCAGCCAGUCAUGUUGAACAAACUAAGAGUGCCAGAAAGUUAAUGUCCUGGAAGCAUUGCCAGAGGGGAGGGGGCAGUUAGAUUCCCCAGCUUCCUCGCUCCUCAGCUGGGUUAAGCCUGCAACAUAUUCAUCAUCUCCCAGAGUGCUGCCCAGGGAUAGAGCUCCAGGUGCUCAGUGUGGUGACCUGCUCAUGUCAGCUUCUUCCCCUUUCCUGUCUUGUUUCGCACCCACAUCCUUCCCAUGUUUCCUCUUCCCAAAUAAACUACUUGCAUUGAAA